CUGCAAUAGGCGAAAGCUUGACAGGGUUACUCUGAGUGAUUUCCGUUAAGGAGAUCUUUUGGCACCUCUAAAAAUGGUGCAGAAUAAGGGGUGGGCAAGUCUGGUGUCAGCCGCCGCGGUAAUACCAGCACCCCGAGUGGUCGGGACGUUUAUUGGGCCUAAAGCAUCCGUAGCCGGUUCUACAAGUCUUCCGUUAAAUCCACCUGCUUAACAGAUGGGCUGCGGAAGAUACUAUGGAGCUAGGAGGCGGGAGAGGCAAGCGGUACUCGAUGGGUAGGGGUAAAAUCCGUUGAUCCAUUGAAGACCACCAGUGGCGAAGGCGGCUUGCCAGAACGCGCUCGACGGUGAGGGAUGAAAGCUGGGGGAGCAAACCGG
Molecule: ribosomal RNA, 375 nt
Filed under: uncultured archaeon
Lineage: Archaea
Description: bacterial SSU rRNA
Rfam family: Archaeal small subunit ribosomal RNA
Source: RNAcentral